This 514-nucleotide ribosomal RNA is filed under the name Alternaria sp. Its description in RNAcentral is "eukaryotic LSU rRNA". The stretch from base 209 to 362 matches the Rfam family "5.8S ribosomal RNA". The record is from RNAcentral. Lineage: Eukaryota; Fungi; Ascomycota; Dothideomycetes; Pleosporales; Pleosporaceae.
UGUAACAAGGUCUCCGUAGGUGAACCUGCGGAGGGAUCAUUACACAAUAUGAAAGCGGGCUGGAAUCCUUUGGGGUUACAGCCUUGCUGAAUUAUUCACCCGUGUCUUUUGCGUACUUCUUGUUUCCUUGGUGGGUUCGCCCACCAUAGGACAAACCAUUAAACCUUUUGUAAUUGCAAUCAGCGUCAGUAAAAAAAUUAAUAAUUACAACUUUUAACAACGGAUCUCUUGGUUCUGGCAUCGAUGAAGAACGCAGCGAAAUGCGAUAAGUAGUGUGAAUUGCAGAAUUCAGUGAAUCAUCGAAUCUUUGAACGCACAUUGCGCCCUUUGGUAUUCCAAAGGGCAUGCCUGUUCGAGCGUCAUUUGUACCCUCAAGCUUUGCUUGGUGUUGGGCGUCUUGUCUCCAGUUCGCUGGAGACUCGCCUUAAAGUAAUUGGCAGCCGGCCUACUGGUUUCGGAGCGCAGCACAAGUCGCGCUCUCUUCCAGCGAAGGUCAGCAUCCUACUAAAGCUCU